Molecule: long non-coding RNA, 2620 nt
Organism: Anolis carolinensis (green anole)
Lineage: Eukaryota; Metazoa; Chordata; Lepidosauria; Squamata; Anolidae
Exons: 2
Source: RefSeq, a predicted model, not a curated record
GGGAAGGGGGAGUUGGUAGAUUUCCAAUUCUCUUUGCCGUGCUAUUUAGAAGCCUGUUUCUAUUCUGCUUGUUACUUUCUAGUUUCUUUCCUUUCUAGAUCUCCACGGGUGUUAUUUCUUUUCAGUAUAUAAUCAUAACAUUAUCUUCAUUUUUUUCUUGUUUUCAUGUAAUUGAUCAAUAAAGACCAGUACGUGCCUUUCUUGAAAGUUCCUUGCCGAUAUGCUAAUCGAUGUUUUAGUUAAUCCAUGUUCAUAACUUCCACCAUUUUAUUAACCAUUCAUUUAUUGUAGGGGUUUCAUUUCCUCUCCAGAGUUGUGUAUACAGUACACUAUUCUGGCUGCUGUAAUUGCUUGGGUGGGCAAUUUUUCUAUGUAACCUAAAGUGCAGUGAUUAUUUCCAUUAUAUAUCCCCUUCUUCCAUAAUGUCAGGAGGUCUACAUGUUUCCUAACAUGUAGCUAUAUCUAAAAGUUUCAGUAGUCUUUAAAAGAGAUUAAAUCGACUCCAACAUUCUAACUAUACUAGGAGCCCGCAGUGGCACAACAGGUUAAACCCUUGUGCCGGCAGGACUGCUGACCGAAAGGUUGGCGGUUCGAAUUUGGGGAGUAGGGUGAGCUCCCAUCUGUCAGACACAGCUUCUUAUGCGAGGACAUGAGAGAAGCCUCCCACAGGACAAUAAAACAUCUGGGCAUCCCCUGGGCAAUGUCCUUGUAGAUGGCCGAUUCUCUCACAUCAGAAGUGACUUGCAGCUUCUCAAGUUGCUCCUGACAUUAAAAAAAAUCCAACUUGGGAGUUUCAUCUUUUGACACUAUCAUUUCUUUUUGGAUUGUCUCAUCCUAGUGUUUUUGUGUUAAAAUAUCUUCAAAAGGAGAUUUACCGUGUCUCCCUCUGUGUAACACUAACAAGUGUUAGCUAUGCUGUCACUGCCCUGAUUUUAAAACGUAAAAUAAAUUGUGCUUCCAAAGGGAGCUAUAUCUAAAAGUUUAAGAAGUCUUUAAAACUCAUUAAAUUCAAUCCAACAUUGAAACCACUAUGCUGCCCUUAUUUUAAAAAGUAAAUUAAUUAAUAAAAUGAACAGGAUACAGUAUGGACCACUCUUCCAUGGCUGAGGGGAGCAUACAUUAUUUAUUCACAGUCCAAAGUAUUCCUCAGAAAUAGAGCAAAAAUUCUAUAUAUUCUGCAGUACAAUCCUACUCCUGGAGCUAUUUAUGGUGGUGACUGGAAAAACUGCACUGAAUAGACAUGAUUAGAUAUGAUUAUCAUGGCUUUUUAUGGGCUAACAGAAGAAGAGUGGGUUAUAAACACAUGUUGUUUCUGAAAAUUGAUGGUAAUAAUCCCAACAAAAGGUGAUUUUUGUCCUGAUGGGAUUGUUCUUUAUUGGUGUGAUAAAAGUCCACAAAAUGUGAAAUUCUACAAUUUAAUACUAAAAUUUAAUUGUUUUUAAAUAUUGGUAUUCAUAUGUAUAUGAAACGUUUUUCUAUUCUAUUGUGUUGGAUUGUGUUAUGUUAGCUGCAUUGAGUCUCUACGUGAAGAAAGGAGGGGUAAAAAAAAGUUGAGUAAGAACAACACCAAGAAAACUUGAGAUCCUAACCAGCCAUUUAUUUGAGUUAUUAUAUUUAUUUAUAUCCUACUAUCCAAUUUUUUAAAAGUCUCAAAAAUAUUCCCAAAAGGAAUUCCAUAAUAUGUUAUCACCACAGGAGCUUUCAAAUACUGUAAUAUAAAAUAUAAGUAAGCCACCUACAGAUUCACCAAUGUGCCAGCAUCACAACAGACUCCUCCUGAAGUCAUAAUACAACCAUAUUUGUAUAAACACUGUUUCUGGGCCCACAAUGACUUCCUGCUGGGAUGUUGGACAGACAAGAAAUGUUUCACUUCAGUCUCAGUUGGGCCUUAUAAUGUUCACUUGCAGGAAAUCCAUGAUCACGAUGAUUACUAUUAUUGAUCAUAACCUUCAAUGGAAAAAGAAGAAAAAGAAAAUCAGAAAUGUGUCUACUAGAAUCUAGGGAUGAAUGGGAAUCAUUGUAUUUUGAGGAUAAUCUGAAGAAGACUCAAAAAUAUUCCCAAAAGGGAUUCAGUAAUAUUUUAUCAGCACAGAAGCUUUCAAAUACUGUAAUAUGAAAUACAAGUAAGCUACCUACAAAUUCACCAAUGUGCCAGCAUCACAACUGACUCCUUCUGAAGUCAUAAUACAGCCAAAUAUGUAUAAAAUACCUCUGUUUUGAUCCACAAUGACUUCCUGCUGGGAUGUUGGACAGACAAGAAAUGUUUCACUUCAGUCUCAACUGUGGCAUGUAAUUUCCUAUUUUCAGACAAUUUAGGAGCAUCAAAGAAAGAGAUUCAUACAAAGAUGAUAUCAGAUUGGAGAAUCAUAUCAUUGUCAACUGAAGUAAAUAAUAAUUAAUAUUUACCAUAACCUUCAACUGUAAAAGAAGAAAAAGAAAUUCAGAAAUAUGUUUCCUGGAAUCUAGGGAUGGAUGAGAAUUUCCCUUCUAUUUUGAGGAAAAAUCUGAAACAAAACUGGAAGUGAUUUACCCACUUAGCCCUUCCCUUUGCCCACUUGCUACCAUCCAGGUCUAGAAGGUUAAGGCACUGGAGGAAGAGGAAGGAAGGAAGGAAGGAAGG